CACGUAGUUAGCCGUGGCUUCCUCCUCUGGUACCGUCAUUAUCGUCCCAGAAGACAGAGCUUUACAACCCGAAGGCCUUCAUCACUCACGCGGCGUUGCUGCAUCAGGCUUUCGCCCAUUGUGCAAUAUUCCCCACUGCUGCCUCCCGUAGGAGUCUGGACCGUGUCUCAGUUCCAAUGUGGCCGGUCACCCUCUCAGGCCGGCUACGCAUCGUUGCCUUGGGUGGCCGUUACCUCACCAACCAGCUAAUGCGCCGCGGGUCCAUCUUGUAGCGGAUUGCUCCUUUGGUCACGCUAACAUGCGUCAGCAUGACAUUAUGCGGUAUUAAUCCUUCCUUUCGGAGGCUACUCCCCCUCUACAAGGCAGGUUACCCACGUGUUACUCACCCGUCCGCCGCUAGGGACUAAAACGUCCCCGCUCGACUUGCAUGUGUUAGGCACGCCGCCAGCGUCUC
Molecule: ribosomal RNA, 454 nt
Filed under: uncultured Clostridiaceae bacterium
Lineage: Bacteria; Bacillati; Bacillota; Clostridia; Eubacteriales; Clostridiaceae
Description: partial 16S ribosomal RNA
Source: RNAcentral